RNAcentral lists this ribosomal RNA (500 nucleotides) under uncultured bacterium. RNAcentral describes it as "partial 16S ribosomal RNA". It matches the Rfam family "Bacterial small subunit ribosomal RNA", at positions 30 to 523 of the family's 1533-position model. The record is from RNAcentral.
AUUGAACGCUGGCGGCAUGCUUUACACAUGCAAGUCGAACGGUAACAGGGUGCUUGCACCGCUGACGAGUGGCGAACGGGUGAGUAAUGCGUCGGAACGUGCCGAGUAGUGGGGGAUAACGCAGCGAAAGUUGUGCUAAUACCGCAUACGUACUGAGGUAGAAAGUGGGGGACCUUCGGGCCUCACGCUAUUCGAGCGGCCGACGUCUGAUUAGCUAGUAGGUGAGGUAAAGGCUCACCUAGACGACGAUCAGGAGCGGGUCUGAGAGGAUGAUCCGCCACACUGGGACUGAGACACGGCCCAGACUCCUACGGGAGGCAGCAGUGGGGAAUUUUGGACAAUGGGCGAAAGCCUGAUCCAGCCAUGCCGCGUGUCUGAAGAAGGCCUUCGGGUUGUAAAGGACUUUUGUCAGGGAGGAAAUCCCUAGUGCUAAUAACACUGGGGGAUGACAGUACCUGAAGAAUAGGCACCGGCUAACUACGUGCCAGCCGCCGCAGUAA